UACGUAGGGUGCAAGCGUUGUCCGGAAUUAUUGGGCGUAAAGAGCUCGUAGGCGGUUUGUCGCGUCGAAUGUGAAAACCCGGGGCUCAACCCCGGGCCUGCAUUCGAUACGGGCAGACUAGAGUUCGGUAGGGGAGUCUGGAAUUUCCGGUGUAGCGGUGAAAUGCGUAGAUAUCGGAAGGAACACCAGUGGCGAAAGCGGCUUCCUGGUCCAGCACCGACGUUCAGGCACGAAAGCGUGGGGAGCAAACAGG
This 253-nucleotide ribosomal RNA is filed under the name uncultured bacterium. Its description in RNAcentral is "partial 16S ribosomal RNA". It matches the Rfam family "Bacterial small subunit ribosomal RNA", at positions 524 to 776 of the family's 1533-position model. The record is from RNAcentral.